Molecule: non-coding RNA, 3847 nt
Organism: Caretta caretta (loggerhead turtle)
Lineage: Eukaryota; Metazoa; Chordata; Testudines; Cheloniidae
Source: RefSeq, a predicted model, not a curated record
CUGCCUGGCGCGGGUGGGGCUGAUGGAGCCGGAAGGGGCGGGGCCGGCCGAUGGGAGCCGGAAGCAGAGAGGCGGGGGCUCGGCGACGCGCCCGUUGCCGGGAGACCGGGCUGAGCUGGGCGGGCGGGUCAUGGAGCCUCGGCGCCCGGGAGAGCCGCAGGCCUCAGGCCGCCUUCGGCUCGGGCCGGCUCUGCCCCGGGGCGGGGCCCCUUCGUGUGCCGGGGGGAGAUGGGGGCGCAGCCCGGGGUCCACGGGGGGGCGGUGUGAAAUCCUCACUGCCCCCCCCCAGCUGCCCGACAUCUGCCCAGUGCCAGGGAGUCUCUGCCCCAGCCCCCCCCCCCCCCCCCGGAAGCAGCUCCCCAGAGGCUCACGAGCUGCCCUGGAGAAGCCAUCAAAGUCCCCCACUUCUCUCACGUGGAUAUUGGUGUUGAGCUUCCUGGGUCAAAUGCUGCUGCCUCCACCGUGACCUUGAAGCUCAGGCUGAGCAGCUGCUGCUCCCCGAGAGGGGUCUGAGCUGGGGAGUGACCUUGAGUAAAACUUCUGUUCCCAGCCAAGGCUGCAGUGUAACAUCCCAUCCUUCCAGGGAGCAAGGAAGGGAAAUGGCUGCCGUGGAGCCGGUUCAGGGGCCAGUGAAUUUCGAGGAGGUGGCUGUGCUUUUCACCAAGGAAGAGGGGGCUCUGCUGGACCCCUACAGAGAGCCCUCUACAGAGACGUCAUGCAGAAGAACUAUGAGAACGUGACCUCGCUGGGACAACCUGCGAAGAGAACUGCUGGUCAGGUAACAAAGCCAGUUGACUUCCAUUUCUGCUCAGAUGAGAGGAUUAAACAGCACACAGAAAGCCAACCUGGGAAUGAAUACAAGAAACUGGAUUUCGUAGCAGCACUGAGAAAGUACCCCGCAACUCCGGUGAGAGGAUGAGGAAGCAAGGGUGCUACCUGAUUGUUCUAGAUCUAUUGGUGGCUGUCUCUUCCUGUUCCACUGUUUGCUAAUGUGGGAUUUGCUGAUAGUAAUUCACUGGGUGUGAAUGAAAGAGGUCAUGUGGGAUGUGACAGACUAGUAGAAGUGCUGUGGACUUACUGAGCAACACAAUGCUGGCUGUCGGCAUCUCUGCAGAGUUUCCAAACUGGCCGAUCCCAAGUUUUUAGUAUGUCCAACCAGCUCACAAGUGGUGGAAGUGGAAUCUGGAAUCCCAUCUACUAUUCCAACAGGUUGAGUUCCCAUGAGGCUUUGAAACAAGAGUAGUAUGCCUUUCCUUGUACACCUACUCCUCAGAUCUCCAAGGUAGGAACUAAGUAUUCUUCCCUUACAGAUGAUUCCUUAUCAGCAAGGCAGUUACAAGUCCUCAUCCUAGUAACAUACCAAGGAUUCGAUUUCCAAGCUGGAGUCUGCUUAUUUAGCUACCUCUGAGUAUCCAUGCAGUAGGGUCUAUCCCCAGCAGGGCUGAGUAUGCACAGCUGUUCAAAUUAGUGGGAGCUGUGGGUGCUCUUGACUCUGCAUGGAUUCUCUUCUUGCUGUCAAGGUAGUUUUGGGAGAAGAGAACUUCAGGGAGUUCAUUAAUACAAGUUGAAGAUAUGUCUACAGUAUCUUCUACAUAGUUACCUGUUGAGGUGGCAGUUGAGCGGUUAGGUGUAAACGGUGUUCUUGCUACCAGAUGGGACUGGGUGAAUACAGUAAUGAAGGUAGUGAUGUCUGCCCAACAACUGGGGAAAUUGUUCCAUGUAACAGAACACAGCCUCUGUGACUCCCCGGAAUCGUAUGUCAUUAAAAAGGAGAUACUGGCCAUGGCUGCUGGGGUUGUGCCAGUAGUAACUGGAAUCCCACUGGAUUUCAAUACUUUAGCUUUUAAGACUGCAUUGUUAGAUGGUUUGAAUUCAAGAAUGAAGGUAAUUUUAGGACCCAUAGAUCCAGCUAGGGGAUACCCAGAGUUAAAACAUGAAAUUGUUCGAGAAGCUGUAGUUUUUAAAGACAUGCAGGGACAAGCGGGAAAAGGAAAUAAGGACAGGAAUAUGGAGCCUGUACAGGCGGUAACUUUUGCCAACAACUGGGACCCAGAUCACCAAGGGAAGCUGGGAGGAAAGGGGCCUGCUGCACUAUGACAUGUUAGAGGAAGGGGACAGGGAGGUGCAAUGGACAGCAGAGGUGCAAGAGGAAGAAAUGGAUCUGGACAUGGGUAUCAGAUGCAGACUAGAGGAUGUCUGGCUCAAGCUGGGAAAGGUACAUUGAACUUCCCUGCUCCCAUACUCCAAGCCGGCUAUGCUCCCUGCAGCUGGUUCGCUUCCAAACCACACCCAGGGACCAACUGUACAUGCUCGUGCUCCACACAUUGCAUGUCCUCACCCUCUUAUCCCGCCACGACUCCAAGUGGCGGGACUAUUUACCACCUGUGGAGGGUGAGGAGCCCCGGUGGGCCAGCCUCUAUUCCACCUUGGUCCCACGGCCCACCAGAGACAUCGGUUGGCAACUCCUUCAUGGAGCCGUAAGCACGGGUGUGUAUCUGGUGUGGUUCACCCCCAUUCCCGAGGCCUGCCCCUUCUGCAGAGUGAGGGAGAGCCUGGCACAUGCCUACCUCGAAUGCACCAUGUGGCAGCCCCUAUUCCGGCUCCUCCAGAACCUCUUGUUGAGGUUCUGGCUGCAUUUUUCCCCCCACACCUGUUCAUUUUCGCACACCCUAUCCAUGGCCCCACGAAGUCGUGAGACCUCCUCAUCAACCUCCUCCUGGCUCUGGCCAAAGUUACCAUCUAUAACACCAGGAGGAGGAUGUUGGACGAGGGGGUGCUCUGCAACUGUGGGGCCUAUUUCUGUUCCUCCCUAGUCUCACGUCUCCGGGCAGAGUUUUACUGGGCAGCGUCCGCUGGCUCCCUCAACAGCUUUGAGGAGCAGUGGGCGCUGUCCAGGGUUCUCUGCUCGGUGUCUCCAUCUGGUACCCUUGUUUUUAACCUGUGACCAUCACUCCCGACCCUGUUUUCUCAUUAGUUGUCCCACGCAACCAGUUGGAAUCCAGGUCCAGAGGUCCCUCCUUGCGCUCACCCACCUCCCAGGAUAUCCAAUAAGGUCUCACUGUAUGCACCCCACCCGCGCUUCAAGCCAUUUGGAGGAGCGCGGGUCCACUGCUCUGUCUCGAUGUUUACCUUUCUGCCGCUCAUCCUUCUCCGCCAGAGAACUGGCAGGGUUUGGAGGCCAGGAUGGGUGAGUGGUGAGGGAGAUGGACAGGACUGCUCCAGUGUCUCUCCCUGUGCGGGAGGGCACUGGUGCUGAACCAGCUAGUUCUGUCCCUGCUCUGGCACUGGCUCAACACCCUGAGCCCGGUCGCAGGGAUCCUGGCCAGGCUCCACAGGACAGCUCUGGAGUUUUUCUGGCCAGGACUGCACUGGGUGUCUGCAGGGGUCCUGAGUCUUCCCCUGGAGAAGGGAGGACAGGACCUGGUCUGCCUUCGUAGCCAGGUCCAUGUCUUCUGCCUCCAGGCCCUGCAGAGACUCCUUUGUGGUGCAGGUACUCCAGCGUGAAGCAUGUUGGAGCAUGCCUUCCUCCGCCACCUGCUCCUCCUGCCUCUCUGCAGUCUGCUCUGGAUGGGAACCACUUGUGCAUCUUUGCAUAUGGGCAAAACAAUGUAAUAUCAGGCUGUUAAGAAAGAGAUCCUGUCCUAAUAACACCCACUAUCACCAGAUAAAGAAACAGAUCUUAAGAUGGUUAAAGAAAACUUAGUUUGAUGGCAUCUGUCUGGCAAGAAAUCUCUGAUCAAUAGUUUCUUUAUUGUUUUGUCUUUAUGGUCCCCACUUUUCUAUUUCAGAGUAACAGCCGUGUUAGUCUGUCUUUGCAAAAAGAAAAGGAGUACUUGUGGCACCUUAG